CAAAUGAAUUGACGGGGGCCCGCACAAGCGGUGGAGCAUGUGGUUUAAUUCGAUGCAACGCGAAGAACCUUACCUGGUCUUGACAUCCACAGAACUUUUCAGAGAUGAUUUGGUGCCUUCGGGAACUGUGAGACAGGUGCUGCAUGGCUGUCGUCAGCUCGUGUUGUGAAAUGUUGGGUUAAGUCCCGCAACGAGCGCAACCCUUAUCCUUUGUUGCCAGCGGUCAGGCCGGGAACUCAAAGGAGACUGCCAGUGAUAAACUGGAGGAAGGUGGGGAUGACGUCAAGUCAUCAUGGCCCUUACGACUAGGGCUACACACGUGCUACAAUGGCGCAUACAAAGAGAAGCGACCUCGCGAGAGCAAGCGGACCUCAUAAAGUGCGUCGUAGUCCGGAUUGGAGUCUGCAACUCGACUCCAUGAAGUCGGAAUCGCUAGUAAUCGUGGAUCAGAAUGCCACGGUGAAUACGUUCCCGGGCCUUGUACACACCGCCCGUCACACCAUGGGAGUGGGUUGCAAAAGAAGUAGGUAGCUUAACCUUCGGGAGGGCGCUUACCACUUUGUGAUUCAUGACUGGGGUGAAGUACA
This 587-nucleotide ribosomal RNA is filed under the name Escherichia coli. RNAcentral describes it as "bacterial SSU rRNA". It matches the Rfam family "Bacterial small subunit ribosomal RNA", at positions 902 to 1488 of the family's 1533-position model. The record is from RNAcentral. Lineage: Bacteria; Pseudomonadati; Pseudomonadota; Gammaproteobacteria; Enterobacterales; Enterobacteriaceae.